AUGGCGAGGAGGCAAACAGCGGCGACGCUUGGACUUGGGCGAGGCUUCGGCUCGGCGGCGCAGGAACGGCGAGGAGGGACUUGGCAUCGGGGCGGCGCGCUGCAAGGUCGGGGACGCGAGCGUCCAUGGCGGCGGAGUGCACUGUUUGAGACAGAGCGAGAAAUCAAUAUGUGUGAGAGAGAAAAAAGAGGAAGAAAGAGAGCACGGGAAGAACAGAACAGAGAAGAAGGGUGGCACCCAUCUGCUGGCUCCGGCAAGCUGUGGCUGGUGGUUGCCGGCGGCGGCGUGCAAAACCACAGGAGGAGCUCCUCUCGUGGGGCUCGGGUGCGGGGAAUCGUGGGAGGAGGCUGCGAGGACGGGCGCGCUCGGGCGCUCGCUCGAUCUCCUCGUGCUCGGCGGUGGGUGGGAGAGGACUGGAUCGGGAGGGGGCGGCGGCGGUGGGGAGAUUGGGAGCAGGGAGGAGGGGUGCGAUAG
RNAcentral lists this ribosomal RNA (474 nucleotides) under Triticum aestivum (bread wheat). RNAcentral describes it as "partial small subunit ribosomal RNA". The record is from RNAcentral. Lineage: Eukaryota; Viridiplantae; Streptophyta; Magnoliopsida; Poales; Poaceae.